RNAcentral lists this ribosomal RNA (997 nucleotides) under uncultured organism. Its description in RNAcentral is "bacterial SSU rRNA". It matches the Rfam family "Bacterial small subunit ribosomal RNA", at positions 416 to 1444 of the family's 1533-position model. The record is from RNAcentral.
CUUCGGGUCGUAAAGCUCUUUUGUAGGGGAAGAGGAAGGACGGUACCCUGAGAAAAAGCGUCGGCUAACUACGUGCCAGCAGCCGCGGUAAGACGUAGGACGCGAGCGUUAUCCGGAAUUACUGGGCGUAAAGGGCCAGCAGGCGGCUAGGUAAGUUGUGCGUGAAAGCCUCGUGCUCAACGCGAGGAAGCCGGACAAUACUGUCUAGCUGGAGGGCAUCAGAGGGGAGUGGAAUUCCCGGAGUAGCGGUAAAAUGCGCAGAUAUCGGGAGGAACACCGAUGGCGAAGGCAACUCCCUGGGGUGUACCUGACGCUAAGUGGCGAAAGCUAGGGGAGCGAACAGGAUUAGAGACCCUGGUAGUCCUAGCUGUAAACGCUGGGUGCUAGGUGUGGGGCGUAGAAGCUCUGUGCCGGAGCGAACGCGAUAAGCACCCCGCCUGGGAAUUACGGUCGCAAGGCUAAAACUCAAACGAAUUGACGGGGCCCCGCACAAGCAGCGGAGCGUGUGGUUCAAUUCGAUGCUACACGAAGAACCUUACCUGGGUUUGACAUGUACGUGGUAGAGAAGCGAAAGCGGAUUGACCCUUCGGGGAGCGUACACAGGUGCUGCAUGGCUGUCGUCAGCUCGUGCCGUGAGGUGUCGGGUUAAGUCCCGUAACGAGCGCAACCCUUGCCCUUAGUUACAAGUGUCUAGGGGGACUGCCGGCGGGAAGCCGGAGGAAGGUGGGGAUGACGUCAAGUCAGCAUGGCCCUUAUGUCCAGGGCUACACACACGCUACAAUGGUCAGUACAAAGGGUAGCGAAGCCGCGAGGUGGAGCGAAUCUCAGCAAAGCUGAUCGUAGUUCGGAUUGCAGGCUGCAACCCGCCUGCAUGAAGCUGGAGUUGCUAGUAACCGCGCGUCAGCCAUAGUGCGGUGAAUACGUACCCGGGGCUUGUACACACCGCCCGUCACGUCAUGGGAGUCGGUAACGCCUGAAGCCGGUAGUCUAGCCUGCA